CUACGGGCUGCUCCAGUGGGGAGUAUUGCACAAUGGGCGCAAGCCUGAUGCAGCCAUGCCGCGUGUAUGAAGAAGGCCUUCGGGUUGUAAAGUACUUUCAGCGGGGAGGAAGGGAGUAAAGUUAAUACCUUUGCUCAUUGACGUUACCCGCAGAAGAAGCACCGGCUAACUCCGUGCGCAGCAGCCGCGGUAAUACGGAGGGUGCAAGCGUUAAUCGGAAUUACUGGGCGUAAAGCGCACGCAGGCGGUUUGUUAAGUCAGAUGUGAAAUCCCCGGGCUCAACCUGGGAACUGCAUCUGAUACGGGCAAGCUUGAGUCUCGUAGAGGGGGGUAGAAUUCCAGGUGUAGCGGUGAAAUGCGUAGAGAUCUGGAGGAAUACCGGUGGCGAAGGCGGCCCCCUGGACGAAGACUGACGCUCAGGUGCGAAAGCGUGGGGAGCAAACAGGAUUAGAUACCCUAGUAGUC
Molecule: ribosomal RNA, 465 nt
Filed under: uncultured bacterium
Lineage: Bacteria
Description: partial 16S ribosomal RNA
Rfam family: Bacterial small subunit ribosomal RNA
Source: RNAcentral